CGUGCCCUCUGGGGCGGUUCUGAGGCUCUCUGGGCUCCGGUUUCUGUCCUUUUUUCUUUCUUCACUUCUUGGGUGCGGUCCCUGAGGCCCCCUCUCCCGCCUUUUUCUCAUAGUUUGGUACCAGGGGAGCCAGGUGGUAAAGUUUCCCGUUGUUUGGUUGUUUUGUUUUGUUUUUCUUUCUUAUACCAACUUUUUUAUUUCCAUGAGGCCGCCUAAGGGCACUUGCUGGCUCCCACCAUUAGUCAGCACUCUUGUGGAACAACUGUUCAAGGAAAGCCAGAGGAGAAAGUAACUCCCGUUGUGUACCUAAGAUCCUGUAAAAAGGUCGCAGGUGAAAACCGUUGAGUUUGAGGACACCAAUUUCUACCCUGCUGUUCUCGGCAAGUGCUGCGGCUUGUCGGCUGUUAUCCAUGCACAAUCCUGUAUGGUUUUGCUGUCUAAUAGUGGGUAGGAAGAAAGGAAGAGGAAAUGGAUUACCAGAGUGAGAAGGUGGACAAGACCCUUCCGGUGGCUGUGACUGUCUUCCACAGGAGAGAACAAGUUGGCAUCUUCCUGUGGUCAUUUACCUCAGGAUCCAGAUGCUGGAUACUUAGUAAAUGUUCAGAACUAAGGCCCCUGCCCAGGUGGAGGAUGAUAACUUCAGGCUGAGCACAAGAUUCCUGGAACCGGGACUUCCCUGGUGGUCCAGUGGUAAAGAAUCCACCUUCCAGUGCAGGGGACACGGUUCGAUCCCUGGUCGGGGAAUUGAGAUCCCACAUGCUGCGGGGCAACUAAGCCCGAGAGCCACAACUAUUGAGCUUGUACGCCUCCGUGAGAGAGCCCACAUGCCGCAAACUACAGAGCCCAUGCGCCCUGGAGCCCGCGCACCACAACUAGAGAGAGAAGAAACCCGCAUGCCACAACUAGAGAAACCUGCACGCCACAACGAAGACCCCAGGCACGCCC
Balaenoptera acutorostrata (minke whale) is the source of this 945-nucleotide long non-coding RNA. RefSeq lists it as uncharacterized. The transcript is spliced from 3 exons. The record is from RefSeq and is a predicted model, not a curated record. NCBI's taxonomy places the organism in Eukaryota, Metazoa, Chordata, Mammalia, Artiodactyla, Balaenopteridae.